Molecule: ribosomal RNA, 496 nt
Filed under: uncultured bacterium
Lineage: Bacteria
Description: partial 16S ribosomal RNA
Rfam family: Bacterial small subunit ribosomal RNA
Source: RNAcentral
AUGAACGCUGGCGGCGUGCCUAAUACAUGCAAGUCGAGCGAACAGACGAGGAGCUUGCUCCUCUGACGUUAGCGGCGGACGGGUGAGUAACACGUGGAUAACCUACCUAUAAGACUGGGAUAACUUCGGGAAACCGGAGCUAAUACCGGAUAAUAUAUUGAACCGCAUGGUUCAAUAGUGAAAGACGGUUUUGCUGUCACUUAUAGAUGGAUCCGCGCUGCAUUAGCUAGUUGGUAAGGUAACGGCUUACCAAGGCAACGAUGCGUAGCCGACCUGAGAGGGUGAUCGGCCACACUGGAACUGAGACACGGUCCAGACUCCUACGGGAGGCAGCAGUAGGGAAUCUUCCGCAAUGGGCGAAAGCUUGACGGAGCAACGCCGCGUGAGUGAUGAAGGUCUUCGGAUCGUAAAACUCUGUUAUUAGGGAAGAACAAAUGUGUAAGUAACUAUGCACGUCUUGACGGUACCUAAUCAGAAAGCCACGGCUAACUACGUG